This 357-nucleotide ribosomal RNA is filed under the name uncultured bacterium. Its description in RNAcentral is "bacterial SSU rRNA". It matches the Rfam family "Bacterial small subunit ribosomal RNA", at positions 29 to 384 of the family's 1533-position model. The record is from RNAcentral.
AGUGAACGCUGGCGGCGUGCUUAACACAUGCAAGUCGAACGGUAGCAGAUCUUUCGGGAUGCUGACGAGUGGCGAACGGGUGAGUAAUGCAUAGUUAAUUUGCCUCUUGGAGAGGGAUAACAGUUGGAAACGACUGCUAAUACCUCAUACUCCUCUAUGCUUAAUGUGUAGAGGGAAAUGUUAUUUCGCCAAGAGAUAAGACUAUAUGGUAUCAGGUAGUUGGUGGGGUAAUAGCCUACCAAGCCUAUGACGCCUAGCUGGUCUGAGAGGAUGAUCAGCCACACUGGAACUGAGACACGGUCCAGACUCCUACGGGAGGCAGCAGGUGGGAAUAUUGCACAAGUGGAAGGAAACUCU